CUGUGAGUUUUCUGAGAGUCUCUCAUAUCUAAAACUCCUUCUCCUACUUUUCAUCUUUGAAAGAGUCCAAAUUAAGAAGAAGGAGGCAUUUGAUCGACCAUCGAAGAAGGAUCAGCACAGUACUAGCAUACUGUGCUGAUUUUCUGGACUAGGACUUCUGAUCGUGAUUUGUAAGCUUGUGUGGAUGACUCCUAGAGGCCGAAUGCA
Molecule: long non-coding RNA, 207 nt
Filed under: Elaeis guineensis (African oil palm)
Lineage: Eukaryota; Viridiplantae; Streptophyta; Magnoliopsida; Arecales; Arecaceae
Description: long non-coding RNA (EGUI_LNC052147)
Source: RNAcentral